RNAcentral lists this ribosomal RNA (230 nucleotides) under uncultured Leptotrichia sp. RNAcentral describes it as "partial 16S ribosomal RNA". It matches the Rfam family "Bacterial small subunit ribosomal RNA", at positions 125 to 355 of the family's 1533-position model. Lineage: Bacteria; Fusobacteriati; Fusobacteriota; Fusobacteriia; Fusobacteriales; Leptotrichiaceae. The record is from RNAcentral.
CUUGCCCUUUAGACUGGGAUAACAGAGGGAAACUUCUGAUAAUACUGGAUAAGUUAGUAUAUCGCAUGAUAUGCAAAUGAAAGCUACGGCACUAAAGGAGAGCUUUGCGUCCUAUUAGCUAGUUGGUAAGGUAAGAGCUUACCAAGGCGAUGAUAGGUAGCCGGCCUGAGAGGGUGGACGGCCACAAGGGGACUGAGAUACGGCCCUUACUCCUACGGGAGGCAGCAGCC